This 435-nucleotide ribosomal RNA is filed under the name Actinobacillus equuli. RNAcentral's name for it is "bacterial SSU rRNA". It matches the Rfam family "Bacterial small subunit ribosomal RNA", at positions 62 to 486 of the family's 1533-position model. Lineage: Bacteria; Pseudomonadati; Pseudomonadota; Gammaproteobacteria; Pasteurellales; Pasteurellaceae. The record is from RNAcentral.
UCGAACGGUAGCACAAAGGAGCUUGCUCCUUGGGUGACGAGUGGCGGACGGGUGAGUAAUGCUUGGGAAUCUGGCUUAUGGAGGGGGAUAACUACGGGAAACUGUAGCUAAUACCGCGUAAUAUCUUCGGAUUAAAGUGUGGGACCGCAAGGCCACAUGCCAUGAGAUGAGCCCAAGUGGGAUUAGGUAGUUGGUGGGGUAAAGGCCUACCAAGCCGACGAUCUCUAGCUGGUCUGAGAGGAUGACCAGCCACACUGGAACUGAGACACGGUCCAGACUCCUACGGGAGGCAGCAGUGGGGAAUAUUGCACAAUGGGGGGAACCCUGAUGCAGCCAUGCCGCGUGAAUGAAGAAGGCCUUCGGGUUGUAAAGUUCUUUCGGUAGCGAGGAAGGUAUCAAAUUUAAUAGAUUUGGUAAUUGACGUUAACUACAGAA